AUUAAUCAGCCAGUUGUAAUAUUACUUUUUGCUUUCUAGAGGAAUUUCCUGUAUGGGCAGCGCUUGCUCACCCGAGCCAGGCGGCGCCUUAUGAGGCUGAGGCAACCCGGUUGCAAGCUGAUGGUUGCUUAGAAUAUUUUGAUAUUACAAUAAAAGGAGGUCGUCACAUAAUUGGACGUCAGAAGCAUGAAGACGGGCCCGUCGGCAUUUUGGAUGCAGAGGAGAUUGCUUUGGGGCUGUAUAAUAUUCCCCGCUGCCAAGCUGUUUGCUGUUCAGCGAGCAGGAGGGUUACGGGUGCGUCUUUGACGCAGUUUCCCUCCGGGGUGGGAUUUCAUCAUCUAACAGUCACGAAAGUGCUGCUAGCCAUUAAAAACUACUCUGUUGUCGUA
Molecule: long non-coding RNA, 389 nt
Organism: Condylura cristata (star-nosed mole)
Lineage: Eukaryota; Metazoa; Chordata; Mammalia; Eulipotyphla; Talpidae
Exons: 2
Source: RefSeq, a predicted model, not a curated record